Molecule: ribosomal RNA, 253 nt
Filed under: uncultured bacterium
Lineage: Bacteria
Description: partial 16S ribosomal RNA
Rfam family: Bacterial small subunit ribosomal RNA
Source: RNAcentral
UACGGAGGGGGCUAGCGUUGUUCGGAAUUACUGGGCGUAAAGCGCAUGUAGGCGGCUUUGCAAGUUAGAGGUGAAAGCCCGGGGCUCAACUCCGGAAUUGCCUUUAAAACUGCAUCGCUAGAAUUGUGGAGAGGUAAGUGGAAUUCCGAGUGUAGAGGUGAAAUUCGUAGAUAUUCGGAAGAACACCAGUGGCGAAGGCGACUUACUGGACACAUAUUGACGCUGAGGUGCGAAAGCGUGGGGAGCAAACAGG